Molecule: long non-coding RNA, 1564 nt
Organism: Nematostella vectensis (starlet sea anemone)
Lineage: Eukaryota; Metazoa; Cnidaria; Anthozoa; Actiniaria; Edwardsiidae
Exons: 2
Source: RefSeq, a predicted model, not a curated record
GUUUAUUCUAUUCUAAAAUUUCAAUUCGAGUACUCGGAGCAUGUAGCUAUGAAGAUAAAACUUUUGUUAAAACGCAAAGCAAAUUAUCCUGAAAAUUGAGAAAGGGUAUUGGUUCAAGGUUUUCCCUUUUUUAUUCUUCUUUAGGGAAGCGCAUGUAAAUAUUUCUUAAUUUCGGCAUCAAAGUGACGUGGGCGUCUAUUUAGAGCCGGUGAAUAACGAGCAACUGCGAAAUUUGCAACUCUGCUUCAACAAAUUUUGGAUGUGAUAGUAACAUGUAAACAGUUGCAUAACAGUUAGAACAAGUCAUCGCUAUAUUAAUAUUAAGAGAUAGUGGUAUGAUCUCACGGCUAUUUUAAGAUCUAGGACGCUAUGUUUGACGCAUAAAAACGCUGCUGAUGUCUUUCGACCUUCAGUGAGAGAAAAAGAGCUAAUACACGCUAUUUAUAUUACACCAAAGUUUAUUUUGACUGCGCUAGAAAGCUGAACGGAAUAAAAACUCAUCGGUAAGAUUGCGUGACAUGCUCCAUCAGCCAGGUGUAACGCGCCAGCCAUCAUAACAAUAAAGACUGGCGGAGACGUUAUAAAAUCUGAGACAGCUAAGCUAAACAACACGGCGGAGAGGAAUGUCGUCUCAACUUGAACAAUUCUUUCUCGUCGGUUUGAUGUUAUUGGCUACUGUGGAAAACGAUGGUUAUUUUGGGAUUUUAGCACAUGAUGGCCCUCAAAUAUUAAAUGAAGUCAAGAGUCCAUUACAGUUAACCGAAUAGAUCAUUUUGAUUCCAGUACAAGCUCUCAAGUGCUAUACUUGCAGCACGGACCGUAGAACCGACAGCACUGGAUGUAAAGAGAACCUGGUCACGUGUUCCGAGUCAGAUGCCGUGUGCAGCAAACACUUUUUUAAAUACGCGGAAACCGUGAGAAAAUCCUGCUCCACAAGCGAAGCCUGCGCGGUCAAAACAAAAGAAUGUGAGGGGGGAGACUCGUGUGUGCACUACUGCUGCACAGGAGACAUGUGUAACGCGGGCGCACAUUUCAGCUUGCACUAUUCGUUCCCAGUCUUAUUAAUGAUCGCGAUCAACGUGAAUUGCUGAUGGCUCAUACCGCGAAUACACAAACAUACAACAGUGCAAAUGGCAAUGUCAAUUUGGGGCUCUACUAUGAAAAUAUAUCUUGGACCUUGCCAUAUUACUUCUGAACGAUGAAAAAAAAACGAAGAAUCAUGCGAUUAGUUUAUCGUUAUUCUUGUCGGCCUUGGACAAGAAUAACGGUAAACUACAAGAAUUGCCAUCCGCUGUUUGCACUGACAACGAUCUUAGAAACACGAGCAGCCCUCGGUUCAGCCCAAGGAACUGAUUGCAGGCGUGAUAUGACAUUGAACAAAUAUAACAAGAGAAAUAAUAGGAACAGAUACCGAAAAAAGCAAUUUCUCGCUCCAUUUCAAAAUGGCUUUCAGUCUGUGAAUCCGAAACAAGGCUCUUCAAAUGAUAAUGCUUCUAAAUAAUCGCAAAAUGUAUAAAUAAUAAGUUAACGUUUUUUUUUUGCAGAUAAAAGUGUGAAAAUUUGA